UCUUGUAAAAUACACGACGCGACGCAACGCAACUUUAGUACGCCUCAAAACCCUAAUCUUCAAACUCCAUUCCACUCUCGACUCGAAUCUCUCGGCGCUAUCCGACCUACGGAAGAAUGAGUCGAUCAAGCAGAACCCUUUAUGUUGGCAACCUUCCCGGUGACAUUCGUGAGAGGGAAGUGGAAGAUUUGUUUUACAAGUAUGGACCAAUUGCUCAUAUUGAUCUGAAAAUUCCACCUAGGCCUCCUGGCUAUGCUUUUGUUGAGUUUGAAGAGGCUCGUGAUGCUGAAGAUGCUAUUCGUGGGCGUGAUGGUUAUGAUUUUGAUGGACACCGGCUGCGGGUGGAGCUUGCGCAUGGUGGGCGUGGUAACUCAUCAUCAACUGAUCGUUACAAUAGCAAUAGCGGUAGUCGAGGUCCUCGUGGUGGAGUGUCUAGGCGCUCUGAGUAUAGAGUGUUAGUCACUGGAUUGCCCAAUUCUGCUUCUUGGCAAGAUCUGAAGGAUCACAUGCGUCGAGCAGGGGAUGUGUGCUUCUCCCAAGUUUUCCAUGAGGGUAGUGCAGGAAAGACGGGGAUAGUGGACUAUACAAAUUAUGAUGACAUGAAAUAUGCCAUAAAGAAGCUCGAUGAUUCUGAGUUUCGAAAUGCUUUCUCCCGAUCCGUAGUUCGGGUGAAGGAAUAUGAUGGAAGCCGUUCCAGAAGUCGCAGCCGUAGCCGUUCUCGCUCAAGAGGAAGAAGCAAUGGUCGCAGCCAGAGCCGAAGUCGAAGCAGGAGCAAAAGCAGCAAGUCACCCAAGGGAAAAUCUUCACGCCGUUCAAGGUCUCUGUCUUCUCGGUCUCGCUCUGGGUCGAAAGCACGCUCUCUAUCUAGCUUCACAGCCAUCAGAUCCUGCCCAUCUUUUGAACAUAGUUCCAACGCAGUUCCUUACAUGGUACCACUGGUCGGUAUCAUCACAUCCAGUGGGUUAGUCAAGUUUCUGCAAAUUUGUUGGAUCGGAGUUGGAGGUGCCUAUGAACUGAGCUGAUGGAGGGUUGGGCUUGUCUUGAGCUCGGAAUGUUUCAUGAGCGUACAAAGUGCCAACUUCAGCUGAGCUCAGCUUUUCUGCAUGUUCAUGAGUCCAAUGUGAAAAAUAAUAGAAUUAAUAUGAUAAGUUCAGGCUUGCAAGGGACACGCUGGUCCCGGGUCCUUGGUGAGUGUCAUGAAAACUGGAACUGUCCAUUUUGCACCUCUAGAUGAUCUUUUAGAUCUGAAAUCGAUUCCUCAUAUCACCAGCACAUAUAAAUGUUUAAAUUUCGGUUUAUUUAGAGACCACGCCUUUACAAUCAUGUCUAAAUGGCUAAAAGGAAUUGAUUUAUUCAUUGGUCUGUCUCCACAAAAAGGUGCAUGUACUACUUUUGAGUUCUUAUAAACAAAGAGCUGAACAAAUGCUUGUAGCUUUGAUAUUUUUCAGCAGGCCUUUCCCAGUGACAGAAAUGUCGGAGCUUUUCCGGAAGCUGAGCAUAUCUUAAAUCAUGAAUACCGUUAGUUAUUUGUAGUUGAAGACUCCCCUCAUCUAGCCCCUCUCUCUGAUUCUUUUCCUCCAGUGUUUCACUCUUGGAUUGUGCUUGAAGUGUGACAUUGAGAAAAUGUAUCAUCAAGGAAUCAUCAUUUUCAUUCUUUUCUUUUCAAAUUGGAAUCACCUUCUUUGUUUUUUAGAUAUGGCUUGUAUGCGCAAUUUGGGGAUUGCACAUUAGGAUCUUCGUGGGAUAUGGUUCAAUUGCCUACAUAUCUUUUAUUAGUGGAGAUUGGAAACAAAGAAGAUACUGGAUUGCGAGUAAAGCUGGACUGUGAAUUGCCCUUUGAACAUGGAAACACCCUCUAUUUGCAGUGGGAACAUUUUCAUUGUCGCCAAUGCUGUUAAGCUACCAAAGCAUACUAUCGAAGUUCUUUAUUGGUUCUUUUGGCUUCUUGAUCGGUCUUUUAAAGAACGUUUGUUAGCUUUAUAUUUGAGGUUCUGUUUCUUUCUUAAUUAGAUUCCUUCUUUAGGUGGACAUAUUUUGCCCCCUAUUUUAAGUUUUCCCCCCACAAAUUGCUAAAAUAUUUGCAAGUUUCCUCUUAUGCAUUUUGGUCAUGGUGACACUGACGUGGAUGUGGCAUCAAGGCUCAUGGAGCAAAGUUGUUAAGAGGCACAAGUGGAUAUUAAAUUGGGUUGUUUCUGGAACUUUUGCAGAUCUCCAUCAAGAUCCAGGUCCCCAUCUCCAUCUCGCCAGAAACGGGCAGGUAAAAGUCCACCUAGGCGCAGUGCUAGCAGAAGCCGUAGCCAAA
Olea europaea var. sylvestris is the source of this 2302-nucleotide RNA transcript. It is a transcript of the gene named serine/arginine-rich-splicing factor SR34-like, with no coding region annotated. NCBI's taxonomy places the organism in Eukaryota, Viridiplantae, Streptophyta, Magnoliopsida, Lamiales, Oleaceae. The record is from RefSeq and is a predicted model, not a curated record. The transcript has 14 exons.